This is an RNA transcript of Labrus mixtus (cuckoo wrasse), 1303 nucleotides long. It is a transcript of the gene named cell division cycle associated 9, with no coding region annotated. The record is from RefSeq and is a predicted model, not a curated record. The transcript has 10 exons. NCBI's taxonomy places the organism in Eukaryota, Metazoa, Chordata, Actinopteri, Labriformes, Labridae.
UGAACCCUCCGGAGGACAACGGGACAACAAGAUGCCCCUGAAGCGGACGAGAAACGCAGCAAGUGCCCAAAUUAAAGAGCAGCUGAGCCGGGAGCUGCGACAGAGCAGGCUGACUCUUUUCAUUCAACAGUUUGAGAAAGAAGCACAAGAGCGCAUGAACGAGUUGGAGGCCAAGCUGGAGAACAUGCUGGGGACAGUGGACAUAGUGUUCAAAGUGGAACUGAUGAAGAUGCCUCCUCCUCUAAGAAACACACUCAUAGGGGAUUUGAUAAGCGAUGAGGAUAUCUCAGCUAGCGAUGUGUCUAUUGCAAUGAAGAAUGAGACCCUUGAGAUGAACCAACCCCUCAAGAGGGUGCCAAGUAAAAGAGCAAAAUCAACGGACUCUCCACCGGUUCAGAUCACCCCAGCCCAGCGGUCCUCAUCAAGAACCUCAAAGUGUGGAAAGGGGACAAAAAAGACAAGGACUUUAGUUGGGAGCAACAGCACCGGAAAUCUCAGGGGCUCCUCAGUCACUGCGAAAAGAACGCAAAGCCGCUUGACCAAGACCAAUGACCAGACCAUUCCGGCCAAACCUAAACUCAGAGUUAAACUUGCUGUCGCAGGUCUGUCGUCUCCACUGGUGAUCUGCACUGUUCAAUGGCAGGCUCUGCUGCACACAUCACUGUCACAACAGCACAGGGACAGACUGUCAGCUUCUCUGAAGAGACCAAGGAUGAGAUAAACUUGGACUUACUGGAUGAUGAGGCAUGGUGCCAGAUUCAGAAGCUCACCAGUCUGAUGGCAUAUCUGUCAAGGCGAAGCCGCUGUCAGCAAUGAGUAAAGAUCCACUCAGACCCACGUUUUUCAAUGUUUCCAGCAUUUGACAACAAAGUCUGUUCUCAAAGUCGAAAUCAGUGUAUAUACGUUGGGUUUAUUACUCGUCAGAUGUUCUAAUAAGAGUAUCAGUUGUGUGUUUUGGUUGUCUGAAAAAGUUUUAAAGUUUUUGUAUAAUAAAGCUUAUUUGUGUUUUCCUACAUGAUUAUAAUUUUAUUCAAGAGAAAAACUCUAUUUGUUGUUACUCUGUCUGGAGUUUGGGACAUGAUAAAUCAGCUUAUCAUCGGGAGGGGUAAGAGUUCAAACCUUUAGAAAUGAGUACAUGAUUUUAUUGUAAUGAUUGUUAAUGAUGCGUUGAGAAAUUGACUCAGUAAAUACGAAAGUGUCUGAUUCCAGUCAAGUUUAUGUGGAAAAAGUAGCAAAAAAUAAGCUUUAACAUUCACGUCUCAGUUUGAAAACUGCACAUUUUGACACCUCGUGAUUUCAAGAA